CCCGAAGUAUCCUGAAUCUUUCGCAUUGUUAAUCAUACAAGAGCAUAUAAUAAACACAAAAAUCAAUGAUAAUUAUGCCAUUAUAUAAUUCCGAAAAAUUAACGCUCUGUAAUAAUAUAAAUCUAUCAGCACUUUAUCAAAUUAAUAACAUUUAUUCUGUGUUAAAAUGCAAGCAAUUUAAUUGGAAUAAACUAUAAGUUAUAUUUUAUGAUAAAUUUGGGAUAUGCUAAUAGAUUACAAUGUCCUUAUAUGGAAAAAAUGCACAUUAUUCUUAAUAAUAUUAUUUAAAUAUUACAAUUUUAAUGAUGAAUUUUCCAUAACGGAUAUUCAGGUUCAUCGGGC
Molecule: ribosomal RNA, 342 nt
Filed under: Drosophila mauritiana
Lineage: Eukaryota; Metazoa; Arthropoda; Insecta; Diptera; Drosophilidae
Also listed under: 2 other names
Description: 28S ribosomal RNA, D2 domain
Source: RNAcentral